This 243-nucleotide ribosomal RNA is filed under the name uncultured bacterium. Its description in RNAcentral is "partial 16S ribosomal RNA". It matches the Rfam family "Bacterial small subunit ribosomal RNA", at positions 793 to 1035 of the family's 1533-position model. The record is from RNAcentral.
GUCCACGCCGUAAACGAUGUCAACUAGCCGUUGGGGAUCUUGAAUCCUUAGUGGCGCAGCUAACGCACUAAGUUGACCGCCUGGGGAGUACGGCCGCAAGGUUAAAACUCAAAUGAAUUGACGGGGGCCCGCACAAGCGGUGGAGCAUGUGGUUUAAUUCGACGCAACGCGAAGAACCUUACCUGGCCUUGACAUGCAGAGAACUUUCCAGAGAUGGAUUGGUGCCUUCGGGAGCUCUGACAC